AAGACCUUUGCACUUUUGGAGCGGCCGAUGUCUGAUUAGCUAGUUGGUGGGGUAAUGGCCUACCAAAGCUUCGAUCAGUAGCUGGUCUGAGAGGACGGCCAGCCACACUGGGACUGAGACACGGCCCAGACUCCUACGGGAGGCAGCAGUGGGGAAUUUUGGACAAUGGGCGCAAGCCUGAUCCAGCCAUGCCGCGUGAGUGAAGAAGGCCUUCGGGUUGUAAAGCUCUUUCAGCCGGGAAGAAAAGGUUGCGAUUAAUAAUCGCAAUUUAUGACGGUACCGGAAGAAGAAGCACCGGCUAACUACGUGCCAGCAGCCGCGGUAAUACGUAGGGUGCGAGCGUUAAUCGGAAUUACUGGGCGUAAAGGGUGCGCAGGCGGUUUUGUAAGUCAGAUGUGAAAUCCCCGGGCUUAACCUGGGAACU
This 424-nucleotide ribosomal RNA is filed under the name uncultured bacterium. RNAcentral's name for it is "bacterial SSU rRNA". It matches the Rfam family "Bacterial small subunit ribosomal RNA", at positions 202 to 622 of the family's 1533-position model. The record is from RNAcentral.